This 341-nucleotide long non-coding RNA is filed under the name Fragaria vesca (wild strawberry). RNAcentral's name for it is "long non-coding RNA (FVES_LNC001182)". The record is from RNAcentral. Lineage: Eukaryota; Viridiplantae; Streptophyta; Magnoliopsida; Rosales; Rosaceae.
CUGACAUGUCUAUAACAAAGUGAUCUUCGUAACAUUCACAUUGUAUAACAAUAUUGUGGGGAGGUCCAACAAUAUUGUGGGGAGGUCCAUAAGCUGAAGAAGCACCAACUUUCAAGGCUCCAGAUAGCACAUAACUUGUACAACUUUAGAUUUUCAUAUAAAAAAUGAAGAGGAUAUAAGACGAUGUGAUUUACAGAUGUAAAACUAACUUGGAUUGUCUUCUACCUGGUUGAAAAAUUAUUUCAAAAUGAGACCCAUACUGAUAUGAUUUUAUAACCACAAGAGUAGUCACAAAAGCUCAAAUUUAUAUGAUCACUUGUUCAUGCAAUUAUCUACCAAAC